UCCAAUGGGAAGUCCGCGCCGCGCGCUCGGACGGUCCUGGAACAGCAGCUGGCCGUUUUGUCGGGAGCCGCCUCGUAAAGCUUUCCUUUGGCGAUAACGGCUUCUUAUCAUCAGCCAUCCCCGAGUCAAGACCCCACGCUUUCCCCAGAACCGAGUUUGGGACGGAAUUUCCCACGCCUCUGCGCGCUGGAGCAGAGAGCACCCAAGAGCUCGCCCCCCCCUCCUCCAGGUCCUCUUUCCACCUCUGCUGGCGAGAUCAGGAACCCCUGAAAGCUGCUGCCCUACCGCCCCAGGCGUGGACCAUCCUUCGGCACACAAAGCUCAGCAGGCCUGGAGACUUCCCAGGUUGGAAAGAUAGGGGACGCGCCACCUGCUGGACACGCGAGACAGCUCUGAUCGCACCCAGGCUGUAAUGCAAGUUUGGGCGCCGCCGGGGGCAGUCCUGGAGCGCGAGACCUAAGAGGGGGCGGUGGUGAGUGGGAGGAGGAGGCAGCUCUGCAUGCCUGGAACGAUCGGGUUGAAAAGUUUCUGCUGUCGCCUCCCCCUUGCGUGCGGAGCUGUGCCUUGCGUGCGCGACUUCUGGGAAGUCGGCUCCAGUCAUCUCCCUGGGCGCUGCUCUCGGCCGCCCCUCCCGCGCUUCUCACGGCACCUGACACGCCGAGGCGGCGGCCAAGGGCGGGGUGCCUGCCGCCACCACCCUCGGCGACGCACGCACAGCUGCGCCCCCAGGGCCUGCCCCGGGGAUGCUGGAUCGCAGCCGGCUUCUCGACCUUCGCUCGCGCAGCCUGGUUCCCAAACGAGGGCUGCUGGCCAUGGGGGACGCUUCCUCCUAAAGGAAAGCCUCGGGUGUCUCACGGCCCUGAAAGCAGCUGCUCCUGUUCCUACCAGUUAAUGCAUAGACGCGUACUUUCAAAACACCUGUGAGAAUAAGGUUUGAGCCAGGCGAGCCGAGGAAGAAGUAGAAUGCUUCUCUUUAAUCAAGUAGGAACUGUAGCUCCGGGCCAUUGGUGUGGCCUCCAGACAACCCACUCCCAACGUUGUGUUAUUGUCUCAUUUACAAAAAAACAGAUUCAGGGAGAUUACGGACUUAAACAAGUCACACAGUUCUUUAGAGGUGGAGACAGGAUUUGAACUCACAAAGUCCCACUCCAAAUCCCUCAUACAGGUUUAUACCGAGUAAAAGCAUACUUAAUAUGUGUAUACAUAUAUACAUAUAUAUAUAUAUAUAUAUAUUCCGAUAAAAGCAAGCCAGAGGGUGGUGCCUGGCACCCACAAGGUGCAAAGAGAGAACCAAUUUACACAAGUAAUCCUCCAACCUCCCACUUGUUCCAGAGCACACAAACAUUUACAUUUAUUUACAUAAUAAAUGUAAAAGCUUUUAAUCAGCUGGAAAGAUUUGACGCUUUUUGUCCAUGAUGGAGUGUUUAUAAAACUCACAAAGAAACACUAUAUUCACCAUGUUUAAAUUGGCCACGUAUGAGGGGGGGCGGUAGAAGGUGCGUCACAGCUGAUAUUGGAAUAACUGAUUGCAUUAUAAAGAACCUUAAUGAAGGGGUCUGAAAUGAAAGUGUCUAACAUCUUUCAAUAAAAUGCCUGGCCCGCUAAGAAAAAA
This is a non-coding RNA of Peromyscus maniculatus bairdii (prairie deer mouse), 1612 nucleotides long. The record is from RefSeq and is a predicted model, not a curated record. NCBI's taxonomy places the organism in Eukaryota, Metazoa, Chordata, Mammalia, Rodentia, Cricetidae.